CCUACGGGAGGCUGCAGUGGGGAAUAUUGCGCAAUGGGCGAAAGCCUGACGCAGCGACGCCGCGUGGGUGAUGUAGGCCUUCGGGUUGUAAAGCCCUGUCGGGUGGAACGAACGAUCUGGCGGCGAAUAACCGCCGGGUGUGACGGUACCACCGAAGGAAGCCCCGGCUAACUACGUGCCAGCAGCCGCGGUAAGACGUAGGGGGCGCGCGUUGUUCGGAGUUACUGGGCGGAAAGGUAAGGUAGGCGGCAAAUCCCUCGGCUUAACCGAGGUCCCGCAUCCGAUACUGUCUGGCUCGAGUCUAGGAGAGGAAAGCGGAAUUCCCAGUGUAGCGGUGAAAUGCGUAGAUAUUGGGAGGAACACCGGUGGCGAAGGCGGCUUUCCGGACUAGUACUGACGCUGAGGCGCGAAAGCUAGGGGAGCGAACGGGAUUAGAUACCCCUGUAGUC
Molecule: ribosomal RNA, 449 nt
Filed under: uncultured bacterium
Lineage: Bacteria
Description: partial 16S ribosomal RNA
Rfam family: Bacterial small subunit ribosomal RNA
Source: RNAcentral